AGUUAUGAAAUUUAUUUGAGUAAAAUUUUAUAAAACAAGUGUUAUUAAAUUUGUAUUCUUAAGAGGAUUAUAUGUUUGGACAGAUUUUGAACAUUCCGAAAAUUUGAGGAAAGACAAGACACUUGUGGACUAGUGAUAUUUGAGUUCUCCGGUUGAGAAAGUUUUUUGGAGGCUCAGACAUGACCUCACCUCUAGAGUUUGAUAGCAGAUCUUGAUCCAAGAUUGAGUACUUCGUCUGCAGGCUGCCACGGUCAUCUUAUUUGUUAUUUUCCAUCUUUCGGGCAGUAAAACAUUCCUUAUUUACUUUAUUUUGGAUACCUCUUUAGACAUGAUCUUUGUUAGUAGUUCUCAUACGAUGACUUUCGGGUCUUGGGAAUUUUAGUAAGUAGUUUGUUU
Long non-coding RNA from Capsicum annuum, 396 nucleotides. RefSeq lists it as uncharacterized. Lineage: Eukaryota; Viridiplantae; Streptophyta; Magnoliopsida; Solanales; Solanaceae. The transcript is spliced from 2 exons. The record is from RefSeq and is a predicted model, not a curated record.